AUACGGAGGGUGCAAGCGUUACUCGGAAUCACCGGGCGUAAAGCGCGCGCAGGCGGCUAUUUAAGUUGGAUGUGAAAGCCUACGGCUCAACCGUAGAACUGCAUCCAAAACUAUUUAGCUAGAGUGUGGGAGAGGAAGAUGGAAUUAGUUGUGUAGGGGUAAAAUCCGUAGAGAUAACUAGGAAUACCAAAAGCGAAGGCAAUCUUCUGGAACACUACUGACGCUGAGGCGCGAAAGCGUGGGGAGCAAACGGGAUUAGAAACCCUAGUAGUCC
RNAcentral lists this ribosomal RNA (274 nucleotides) under uncultured bacterium. Its description in RNAcentral is "partial 16S ribosomal RNA". It matches the Rfam family "Bacterial small subunit ribosomal RNA", at positions 523 to 796 of the family's 1533-position model. The record is from RNAcentral.